GGGGAUUUAGCUCAGUGGUAGAGCACUUGCCUAGCAAGCACAAGACCCUGGGUUCGGUCCCCAGCUCCG
Rattus norvegicus (Norway rat) is the source of this 69-nucleotide non-coding RNA. The record is from Rfam. Lineage: Eukaryota; Metazoa; Chordata; Mammalia; Rodentia; Muridae.